CCUACGGGCGGCUGCAGUGGGGAAUAUUGGACAAUGGGGGCAACCCUGAUCCAGCCAUGCCGCGUGUGUGAAGAAGGCCCUCGGGUUGUAAAGCACUUUCAGUGAGGAAGAACGCCUGGUGGUUAAUACCCAUCAGGAAAGACAUCACUCACAGAAGAAGCACCGGCUAACUCCGUGCCAGCAGCCGCGGUAAUACGGAGGGUGCGAGCGUUAAUCGGAAUUACUGGGCGUAAAGCGCGCGUAGGUGGCUUGAUAAGCCGGUUGUGAAAGCCCCGGGCUCAACCUGGGAACGGCAUCCGGAACUGUCAAGCUAGAGUGCAGGAGAGGAAGGUAGAAUUCCCGGUGUAGCGGUGAAAUGCGUAGAGAUCGGGAAGAAUACCAGUGGCGAAGGCGGCCUUCUGGACUGACACUGACACUGAGGUGCGAAAGCGUGGGUAGCAAACAGGAUUAGAUACCCGAGUAGUC
Molecule: ribosomal RNA, 465 nt
Filed under: Vreelandella stevensii
Lineage: Bacteria; Pseudomonadati; Pseudomonadota; Gammaproteobacteria; Oceanospirillales; Halomonadaceae
Description: partial 16S ribosomal RNA
Rfam family: Bacterial small subunit ribosomal RNA
Source: RNAcentral